RNAcentral lists this long non-coding RNA (1483 nucleotides) under Gadus morhua (Atlantic cod). Its description in RNAcentral is "lncRNA (ENSGMOG00000033341.1)". Lineage: Eukaryota; Metazoa; Chordata; Actinopteri; Gadiformes; Gadidae. The record is from RNAcentral.
GUUAGAGAAGACGAACACCUCGAAGUCUGGCUGGAACUCCGAAUCCCGAUGAAGAUUAACGCGUUCAGAGCAGAAACAUCCAGAAGAACAACAACAACAAAACAAGCGUCGACUGUUCGCCUUGGAGGAGGAAGAGUGAUCAAAACGUUCUGAGCUCCCCCACCGCGUCUCUGAGGCUGUGCGCCGUUAGAUCAGCAGGACUGAGGACGAGACCGAGACCGGACCUUUAGACGCUCCGAGGAGGGGGGGGGGGGGGGCAGGAGGCGGGUCUUCCGACGCUCAGCCAUUCACCUGUUUCUCGCAGGACGAUAUCAGUCAGAGAUCAAGAUCGUCCAGGAAUAGUUCUGCUGACUGAAUGAUAAUGACGUAAUUUGGGUUGAUUCUGACUGAGUGUACAUUACAUCUUGUGGGCUGGGUUCCUGUCUUUACGCACAGCGCGCGUGAUAGGGACAGGGACGUGACAGACAGAUACACCCCGGGUCGAGUGACAGUUGACGGACAGAUACACCCCGGGUUACUGUCAGCUGUCCGUCAACAGAUAUGUCAGCGCGAAGGGUGCGGACGAACCAACCUGGCCGUCUGGGACAUAGCCAGGACCAUUUACCUUAUCGUGGGAGACACUGCAUCUGUUAUUUUGUUAUUCACGCUUUCUUCUCUAUAAUACUCGCUCCAAACCUUUGAUUCAAGAAGAAGAGGGAUCGACAGCCAAGGAGCACGUCUGGAGACUGCUCCUCGAUCGCCGGCCCUGCUACACUAUAGAUUAUUCAACCUAAAUCUAUAUCUUGUUGUAUUCAUCCUGGAAUAAACCAUCUAUUCGAUCCUCUGAUCCAACCUUUCAAGCUGCCUUGAUUUCCACUUCAAGAAUUACUACUAGGCCUACAAGAAUAUACACGAUGCAGAGUCUAUACGAACAGUUUGGAAAUAAGCAAAAAAUAUCUAACACUAUUUAACAACGACACUUUCAGUGACCUUCAAGGUGUCCAUUUUUUUCUGCGGGGCUUCCGUCCAGUUCCUCCCUGACAGCUCCGAGUUCAGUGAUGAUGACCAGCAGGAGACUCCCGGUCGGGUUCCAGUAGGAGGUCGUGACCCCUCCGUCUGAACUGGAGUCACUGAACUUCAUCCGAUGGUUCACAAUGUGUCACCAUAAAAUGAGAUUCAUAUUCUCGUUAUUUUCUCCUGUAUUCCCCCCUAACCCUUAUCUCAUAGUGCCUCGGUAGGCUAUUAUAGAACUAUCCAUAUUCUCUCAAUGUAUUGAUUCCUUUGUAAUUUACCGAAGUAGGAUGUUUCAGUUUUGAGUAAAUUUCAGAUGCAUAAUUAAUUUACUGAAACAUUAACUCAAUGAAAUGGAUGUUUUAUGCCGGCAUUCAAAAGAUAAAUAAUAAUAACUCAUACUGCAGUGAACUCAGUAGGGGUCGCUGUUCACCUAGUUUACAAUCAGAAACUUUGAAAACGCAACAUGUUUUUAACUCCAGCAUGUAAUUAU